Molecule: small RNA, 580 nt
Filed under: Pan troglodytes (chimpanzee)
Lineage: Eukaryota; Metazoa; Chordata; Mammalia; Primates; Hominidae
Description: retained intron
Source: RNAcentral
AUUUUGCUAGAUUCACAGGGACACAUUGUCCUUACUGACUUCGGACUCUGCAAGGAGAACAUUGAACACAACAGCACAACAUCCACCUUCUGUGGCACGCCGGAGUAUCUCGCACCUGAGGUGCUUCAUAAGCAGCCUUAUGACAGGACCGUGGACUGGUGGUGCCUGGGAGCCGUCUUGUAUGAGAUGCUGUAUGGCCUGCCUCCUUUUUAUAGCCGAAACACAGCUGAAAUGUAUGACAACAUUCUGAACAAGCCCCUCCAGUUGAAACCAAAUAUUACAAAUUCCGCAAGACACCUCCUGGAGGGCCUCCUGCAGAAGGACAGGACAAAGCGGCUCGGGGCCAAGGAUGACUUUGUGAGUGAUGUUUUCCUGUUCUCCUGGGCCAGCUGGGACGUGCACUAGACCUCCCUGCCCUUAUUGAAUGCACCUGUCUAAAUUAAUCUUGGGUUUCUUAUCAACAGAUGGAGAUUAAGAGUCAUGUCUUCUUCUCCCUAAUUAACUGGGAUGAUCUCAUUAAUAAGAAGAUUACUCCCCCUUUUAACCCAAAUGUGGUGAGUAUCUGUCUCUCUUCUAAGUA